ACUAGUUGUUCUAGAAUUACGCAAUCUUAACUUGAAGACAUUUCGUACAAUAUUUAAGGGCACUUCUUAACUCGAUCGGCUAGGUUUGUUCAGAAAAAGUCUGCCAAUAUGAAGGUUCUGAUUUCUUUGCUCUUGUUAGUCGUAGUGGCUGUGGCCCAGAAUCAAGACUGCCCUGCAAACAAAACUUACGGAUCCUUUGGUGAUUGUCCAAUGUCUUGCUAUCUUCUCACCCCUCGUGACCCCGAACCAUGCACCAUGAGAAUGAACUGGGGCUGCAAAUGCCAAGAAGGUUAUGUCCUGCUGGAACACAAGGUGUUCAGUUCGAAAUGCAUUAAACCGGAAGACUGUCCUGCAGAAUCCUAAGAUGACACAAACAUUACUCAAGAAUGAAAUAUCAAUACCUGCUGGAAUUUGCUUAUCUGGAGAAAUUGGAUGAAAAAAAAUUUCAUAUGUCUGUAUUAAUUUCAUUGAAUUCUGUCAUAUUUUGUUGUUUGCAUUUCCCUUAAUAAAAGUACGUUCUAGACAUUA
Argiope bruennichi is the source of this 528-nucleotide long non-coding RNA. RefSeq lists it as uncharacterized. NCBI's taxonomy places the organism in Eukaryota, Metazoa, Arthropoda, Arachnida, Araneae, Araneidae. The transcript is spliced from 3 exons. The record is from RefSeq and is a predicted model, not a curated record.